This 691-nucleotide long non-coding RNA is filed under the name Equus caballus (horse). RNAcentral's name for it is "lncRNA (ENSECAG00000055438.1)". Lineage: Eukaryota; Metazoa; Chordata; Mammalia; Perissodactyla; Equidae. The record is from RNAcentral.
AUCAAGUAGAGACAGCAGAUCACUGUUUAAAAGGGAUUCUGGGCCUCUGAGAUUCCAGGGCUCUAGAGUGGAACACUGGGGAGGUUCUGAGAGCCCGAAGUGACCAUUGCAAUUCUAAAGUAUCCGUAGUAAAACGUUUGCCAUUUUGGAGGAUAAAGAAGUUCAAGUGAAGAUAAGCAGAAUCUUCUAAAGGGAACUUGGACAGGCAAGAGGAAAUGAGCAGUGGGGUAUGACAGGAAAAGGGUCUCACUGUGUUGAGCUGAUUCCCAGAGGAAGCUGAUCAAGAGGACACAUUCUACGUUUUUCAAGCUUGCUCAGACUUGGGAGAACUCAGGCUUCAGGGGACUGGAGGAAGGAGAGAAACCUGGCUAACAGUCAAGACAAAACAAGAGCUCAGUGAAGACAUGUGAGCAAGGACAGCAUUCUCUAGAGAGAGAAAGAGAGAGACAUGGUGAGAAGAGAGAAGACUAGAAAAGGAGGAAGACAAGAAAACCUCCCUUUCCAGCAACGUGGCUUUUUGCAGAUGAUGUAUCCUGUUAGAAGAUCUUCGGAGAGUGAGGGGCAACAAAUACCAGAGAAGAUUUGAAGAAAGUGGCAAAUCUCCAAGUGUUCUGCAGAGAAGAAUGGGCAGAGAGCAAGUUUAGGGCACACAGGAAGUUCAUAAAGCACCUAGAAAACAUGGAAGAGGAUG